RNAcentral lists this ribosomal RNA (495 nucleotides) under uncultured bacterium. Its description in RNAcentral is "partial 16S ribosomal RNA". It matches the Rfam family "Bacterial small subunit ribosomal RNA", at positions 28 to 507 of the family's 1533-position model. The record is from RNAcentral.
GACGAACGCUGGCGGCGUGCCUAAUACAUGCAAGUAGAACGCUGAAGGAGGAGCUUGCUUCUCUGGAUGAGUUGCGAACGGGUGAGUAACGCGUAGGUAACCUGCCUGGUAGCGGGGGAUAACUAUUGGAAACGAUAGCUAAUACCGCAUAAUAGUAGAUGUUGCAUGACAUUUGCUUAAAAGGUGCAAUUGCAUCACUACCAGAUGGACCUGCGUUGUAUUAGCUAGUUGGUGGGGUAACGGCUCACCAAGGCGACGAUACAUAGCCGACCUGGGAGGGUGAUCGGCCCAACUGGGACUGAGACACGGCCCAGACUCCUACGGGAGGCAGCAGUAGGGGAUCUUCGGCAAUGGACGGAAGUCUGACCGAGCAACGCCGCGUGAGUGAAGAAGGUUUUCGGAUCGUAAAGCUCUGUUGUAAGAGAAGAACGAGUGUGAGAGUGGAAAGUUCACACUGUGACGGUAUCUUACCAGAAAGGGACGGCUAACUACGUG